GACGAAGGUGGCAAGCGUUGUUCGGAUUCACUGGGCAUAAAGGGCGCGUAGGCGGUCUCGUAAGCGACAUGUGAAAGCCCCCGGCUCAACCGGGGAAGUGCAUGCCGGACUGCGAUUCUUGAGGGUGGUAGGGGGGACUGGAACUCUCGGUGGAGCGGUGAAAUGCGUAGAUAUCGAGAGGAACACCGGUGGCGAAGGCGAGUCCCUGGUCCACUUCUGACGCUGAGGCGCGAAAGCGUGGGUAGCAAACAGG
RNAcentral lists this ribosomal RNA (253 nucleotides) under uncultured bacterium. RNAcentral describes it as "partial 16S ribosomal RNA". It matches the Rfam family "Bacterial small subunit ribosomal RNA", at positions 524 to 776 of the family's 1533-position model. The record is from RNAcentral.